GAAACAUCUUGUAGUGUACUGUUUAGCUGUAAAAUGAGAAAUUUGCGAGUGAUUGACAGCUGUCUACAUUGAAUGAAAAGCCAAUAGGAACGCUCUCUCUCUGAGAUGACCUGCGAUUGGCCAAAGCCUUCUGUCACGGACUAGAUUUUUUAAAGCCU
This is a long non-coding RNA of Sebastes umbrosus (honeycomb rockfish), 158 nucleotides long. RefSeq lists it as uncharacterized. NCBI's taxonomy places the organism in Eukaryota, Metazoa, Chordata, Actinopteri, Perciformes, Sebastidae. The record is from RefSeq and is a predicted model, not a curated record. The transcript has 2 exons.